This 285-nucleotide long non-coding RNA is filed under the name Coccomyxa subellipsoidea. RNAcentral describes it as "long non-coding RNA (CSUB_LNC000287)". Lineage: Eukaryota; Viridiplantae; Chlorophyta; Trebouxiophyceae; Coccomyxaceae. The record is from RNAcentral.
AUGUCUGAUGCGACAAUAUCAAUCUGUAUUUCUGAAUUACAUAUAUUUCGGCCCCUUCUUGCAUCAGACGCAUAUGUUUGCCGAACGGAUGUAGUUGCUCGUGUAGCUAGAAACUAACCUGACCUCUUCGGGUUAUCACUUCAAUUGAUACAUGUAAAGGAUGAUCUCCAAAUAAUAACUGAUAUGAAAUCACGCACAUCCCCUUGACGAUCCGGGCGGAAAGGAAAAGAGUACCCAGCUCUCAACGGAGCACCUUGUGUGGGCUGCAGAUCUUUAAACAGCAGG